CCUACGGGAGGCAGCAGUGGGGAAUAUUGCACAAUGGGGGAAACCCUGAUGCAGCGACGCCGCGUGAGUGAAGAAGUAAUUCGUUAUGUAAAGCUCUAUCAGCAGGGAAGAAAAUGACGGUACCUGAGUAAGAAGCCACGGCUAACUACGUGCCAGCAGCCGCGGUAAUACGUAGGGGGCAAGCGUUAUCCGGAUUUACUGGGUGUAAAGUGAGCGUAGACGGCAGUGCAAGUCUGGAGUGAAAGGCGGGGGCUCAACCCCCGGACUGCUCUGGAAACUGUACGGCUGGAGUGCAGGAGAGGUAAGUGGAAUUCCUAGUGUAGCGGUGAAAUGCGUAGAUAUUAGGAGGAACACCAGUGGCGAAGGCGGCUUACUGGACUGUAACUGACGUUGAGGCUCGAAAGCGUGGGGAGCAAACAGGAUUAGAUACCCCAGUAGUC
This 440-nucleotide ribosomal RNA is filed under the name uncultured bacterium. RNAcentral's name for it is "partial 16S ribosomal RNA". It matches the Rfam family "Bacterial small subunit ribosomal RNA", at positions 338 to 795 of the family's 1533-position model. The record is from RNAcentral.